Molecule: ribosomal RNA, 253 nt
Filed under: uncultured bacterium
Lineage: Bacteria
Description: partial 16S ribosomal RNA
Rfam family: Bacterial small subunit ribosomal RNA
Source: RNAcentral
UACGGAGGGGGCUAGCGUUGUUCGGAAUUACUGGGCGUAAAGCGCACGUAGGCGGCUUUGUAAGUAAGAGGUGAAAGCCUGGUGCUCAACACCAGAACUGCCUUUUAGACUGCAUCGCUUGAAUCCAGGAGAGGUGAGUGGAAUUCCGAGUGUAGAGGUGAAAUUCGUAGAUAUUCGGAAGAACACCAGUGGCGAAGGCGGCUCACUGGACUGGUAUUGACGCUGAGGAGCGAAAGCGUGGGGAGCGAACAGG